AUAGCAAAUAGUUUAUUGGUAAGUACAUAGUUUCAAUGGGAGUAAUAAAUUCACAUGAGCAGGAGACAAUAAUCAAGUCAAAAGAAUAAAUGCUUACUAAUCAUCAGAAAAUCUGUGGCCAUUAAGGCUGGCACAUAAAAAUCCAAAAUCACUCAGAGGCCGAAUCUUAAAAGAAGAUUCGUCCUCUUAUUAGUUCAUAUGGAAUAGGUCCAUAGUAACUGGAAUCUGUAGAAUUCUGUAGAUUUAUCACCUUCUAACCAAACAUGACCCACUGGGACAUAACUGUAGCUUUUAAAGAAAUCUGAUGGACUAGUGGUGAGGAUUUUGUCUCCUUCCAAACCAGUUACUCUUUUACAAAUAUUUGAUGUUGGAUCACUUGGGCUUUUUGCAAUCACAAUGAAUCCUCGGGUCCCAAAGAACCCUGAGGACCCUCAACCAGGACACAGGUGGGCCUUUCUCACCUGGGCCCUGCAGAAGUCGAC
This 482-nucleotide long non-coding RNA is filed under the name Homo sapiens (human). Its description in RNAcentral is "HSALNT0176462". Lineage: Eukaryota; Metazoa; Chordata; Mammalia; Primates; Hominidae. The record is from RNAcentral.